Molecule: RNA transcript, 1928 nt
Organism: Cannabis sativa
Lineage: Eukaryota; Viridiplantae; Streptophyta; Magnoliopsida; Rosales; Cannabaceae
Gene name: hydroxyethylthiazole kinase
Exons: 4
Source: RefSeq, a predicted model, not a curated record
AUUCCAUUUUUAAUUUGUUGUAUUUUAUUUCAUUACCACCCCAAAACUCAACACCAACAAUGGAAGCCGAACCCAAAGUAGAGCCACCGUCCGAUCAAUGGGCCGAUAUGGCGUGGACCAUGUUAACCACCGUACGCCGCCAAUCCCCGCUAAUCCAAUGCAUAACCAAUUUCGUCUCCAUGGAUUUGAUGGCCAACACGCUUCUCUCUGCCGGCGCAUCACCCGCCAUGCUACACACCCUCGAAGAAAUACCCCACUUCACUCCUCACGUCCACGCUCUCUGUCUCAACGUCGGAACCCUCUCCGCCGACUGGCUACCCUCCAUGAAAGCCGCCGCAAACUUCGCUUUUAACUCCUCCAAGCCUUGGGUUCUUGACCCUGUCGCUGCCGGAGCUUCCGGUUUUCGGUUGAAUGCUUGUUUGGAGCUUAUUCAACUCAAACCCACUGUUAUUAGGGGAAAUGGGUCUGAGAUUUUGGCUCUUUCCAAAGCUUCUGUUCAACCCACCAAGGGUGUUGACAGCUCUCAUGAGUCAACGGACGCCAUUGAAGCUGCUAAGUCACUGGCUCAAGCUACUGGUGCUAUAGUUGCAGUGUCUGGAGCUAUUGACAUUGUUACAGAUGGAAAAAGAGUUAUUGGAGCUCACAAUGGAGUGGCAAUGAUGCAGAAGAUUACAGCAACAGGUUGCUCUGUCACAGCACUUAUAGCUGCCUUCGUAGCCGUGGACCCUUCCAAUGCCUUUGAAGCCACAGCAUUGGCCUUAUCGGUUUUUGGAGUUGCCGGUGAGAUGGGAAUGAGGUUGGCCAAAGGUCCAGCUUCAUUGAGGAUGCACUUGAUUGAUUCACUCUAUGGACUUGAUGAAGCUACUUUAAUUUCACAUGUCAAAAUAACCACCUUUUGUGAUUGAAUUGAACAAUGAGAGAGAGGGACUCAUUGUUUUUGGAUAGCAGAGUUUCAGCUCCAUCUGUGGAGAUUUGGCCAGGAGGUAUGAGAGGUCUGAGCUCAGCAAUCCCAUAAGCAUUCUUAAACUUACCAGUCCCACCAGUUACUGACAACUGUGACAAAGUAGUACCAAUAGUAUAAACACCGAAAAAGUUAAGGUUAUCAUUGAACUCUCCUCCUUCCAUUAAGGCAGUGAAAGCCAUAAGCUGUUUCGACCCAUCUGCAGAGCUGGCGACAUAAACACCCUGAGCCUUUCCAAGUUGUUGGGAUCCCAACUCAGGAGUUGUAGUGAGUAUAUCAUCAAUAACAGUGAUUGUCCCGAACCCAAGUCCCAAACCAUCAGCAGCCAAUUGACUCUGUAAGUUGUUUGUGUUUUGGUUGUUAACAUUUCCCGCGAAAGCUGUUCCAGCCAACCCUGUUCCGAGAGGAAGGCCAGUGACACCAUUGACAGUAGGCAUAGCACCAUUGGCAUUGGGGAGAGCCACUGCAUCGUCUGGGGUUUUAAACCCGAUUGGCUUUGCAAAAGGGACUUGACUGCUGUAGAUGUUGCCUAGCAGUCCUGUGACCGGCCUUGCUGUCGGGUUACUACCCCCCAAAAUGUCAUGCAUAUACAUUUCAAGAACCGGUUCUCCUUCUCCAACAGGAACAACUGCAGCCACAAGAAGAAUCGGAUUGUAAACAGAAAUUAGUGUCAAGAAGAGUAAAUAAGAGAUUUUGGUACACAUGGGGGGGAGUGGUUGACUAGACCCAAAAAGGUGGUGAAGUUGUUGUGAGCUAUGCUGUUAAUGGAGAAGUUCAAGUUUGUAUUUUUAGCAAGUUAUGAUGAUGAUGAUGAUGAUGGGUUUGUUAUAAGUUUGGAUUUAGUUGGUUCUAUUUUAUCAGUUAUUAUCUGUAAAUUAAUCAAGUUGAUUUCACCAGCACCAAUACAAUGAGACUAGUUUCUAUAUAAUAUGGUUUUUGUUGAUGAUGACUUCAUUGUCAGCUGAGA